This 459-nucleotide ribosomal RNA is filed under the name uncultured bacterium. Its description in RNAcentral is "partial 16S ribosomal RNA". It matches the Rfam family "Bacterial small subunit ribosomal RNA", at positions 338 to 795 of the family's 1533-position model. The record is from RNAcentral.
CCUACGGGAGGCAGCAGUGAGGAAUAUUGGUCAAUGGUCGGGAGACUGAACCAGCCAAGCCGCGUGAGGGAUGAAGGUACAGAGUAUCGUAAACCUCUUUUGUCAGGGAACAAAGGCGGGGACGUGUCCCCUGAUGAGUGUACCUGAAGAAUAAGCAUCGGCUAACUCCGUGCCAGCAGCCGCGGUAAUACGGAGGAUGCGAGCGUUAUCCGGAUUUAUUGGGUUUAAAGGGAGCGCAGGCGGUCUGUUAAGUCAGCGGUCAAAGCCCGGGGCUCAACCCCGGCCCGCCGUUGAAACUGGCAGUCUCGAGUUGGAGAGAGGUAGGCGGAAUGCGCGGUGUAGCGGUGAAAUGCAUAGAUAUCGCGCAGAACUCCGAUUGCGAAGGCAGCAUGCCAACUCCACACUGACACUGAGGCACGAAAGCGUGGGUAUCGAACAGGAUUAGAUACCCUUGUAGUC